This 491-nucleotide ribosomal RNA is filed under the name uncultured bacterium. RNAcentral's name for it is "partial 16S ribosomal RNA". It matches the Rfam family "Bacterial small subunit ribosomal RNA", at positions 29 to 506 of the family's 1533-position model. The record is from RNAcentral.
AGUGAACGCUGGCGGUAGGCCUAACACAUGCAAGUCGAACGGCAGCACAGUAAGAGCUUGCUCUUACGGGUGGCGAGUGGCGGACGGGUGAGGAAUACAUCGGAAUCUACUUUUUCGUGGGGGAUAACGUAGGGAAACUUACGCUAAUACCGCAUACGACCUACGGGUGAAAGCAGGGGAUCUUCGGACCUUGCGCGAUUGGAUGAGCCGAUGUCGGAUUAGCUAGUUGGCGGGGUAAAGGCCCACCAAGGCGACGAUCCGUAGCUGGUCUGAGAGGAUGAUCAGCCACAAUGGAACUGAGACACGGUCCAGACUCCUACGGGAGGCAGCAGUGGGGAAUAUUGGACAAUGGGCGCAAGCCUGAUCCAGCCAUACCGCGUGGGUGAAGAAGGCCUUCGGGUUGUAAAGCCCUUUUGUUGGGAAAGAAAAGCAGCAGGUUAAUACCCCGCUGUUCUGACGGUACCCAAAGAAUAAGCACCGGCUAACUUCGU